UACAGAGGUCCCGAGCGUUGUUCGGAUUCACUGGGCGUAAAGGGUGCGUAGGUGGUGGAGUAAGUUUGAUGUGAAGUCUCCGGGCUUAACCCGGAAACUGCAUUGAAUACUAUUCCGCUGGAGGUUUGGAGGGGGGACUGGAAUUCUCGGUGUAGCAGUGAAAUGCGUAGAUAUCGAGAGGAACACCAGUGGCGAAGGCGAGUCCCUGGACAACACCUGACACUGAGGCACGAAAGCUAGGGGAGCAAACAGG
This 253-nucleotide ribosomal RNA is filed under the name uncultured bacterium. Its description in RNAcentral is "partial 16S ribosomal RNA". It matches the Rfam family "Bacterial small subunit ribosomal RNA", at positions 524 to 776 of the family's 1533-position model. The record is from RNAcentral.